CGCGAAUAGCUCAUUACAACAGCUAUAAUUUACUUGAAUUUGACAACCCUACUUGGAUACCGGUGGUAAUUCUAGCGCUAAUACAUGCACCAAAGCUCCGACCGCGAGGGAAGAGCGCAUUUAUUAGAACAAAACCACACGGCUUCGGCCGUCCAAUGUUGACUCAUAGUAACUGAGCUGAUCGCAUGGUCUUGCACCGGCGACGUGUCUUUCAAGUAUCUGCUGUAUCAACUUUCGAUGGUAGUGUAUCUGACUACCAUGGUGAUCACGCGUAACGGAGAAUAAGGGUUCGACUCCGGAGAAGGGGCCUGAGAAAUGGCCACUACGUCUAAGGAUGGCAGCAGGCGCGCAAAUUACCCACUCUCAGUUCGAGGAGGUAGUGACGAAAAAUAACAAGGCCGUUCUCUUUGAGGCCGGCCAUUGGAAUGGGUACAACUUAAACCCUUUAACGAGUAUCAAUGAGAGGGCAAGUCUGGUGCCAGCAGCCGCGGUAAUUCCAGCU
Molecule: ribosomal RNA, 502 nt
Filed under: Bitylenchus hispaniensis
Lineage: Eukaryota; Metazoa; Nematoda; Chromadorea; Rhabditida; Telotylenchidae
Description: SSU rRNA
Rfam family: Eukaryotic small subunit ribosomal RNA
Source: RNAcentral